UAGCUAGUUGGUGAGGUAAUGGCCCACCAAGGCGACGAUCGGUAGCCGGACUGAGAGGUUGAACGGCCACAUUGGGACUGAGACACGGCCCAGACUCCUACGGGAGGCAGCAGUGGGGAAUAUUGCACAAUGGGGGAAACCCUGAUGCAGCGACGCCGCGUGGAGGAAGAAGGUCUUCGGAUUGUAAACUCCUGUUGUUGAGGAAGAUAAUGACGGUACUCAACAAGGAAGUGACGGCUAACUACGUGCCAGCAGCCGCGGUAAAACGUAGGUCACAAGCGUUGUCCGGAAUUACUGGGUGUAAAGGGAGCGCAGGCGGGAAGACAAGUUGGAAGUGAAAUCCAUGGGCUCAACCCAUGAACUGCUUUCAAAACUGUUUUUCUUGAGUAGUGCAGAGGUAGGCGGAAUUCCCGGUGUAGCGGUGGAAUGCGUAGAUAUCGGGAGGAACACCAGUGGCGAAGGCGGCCUACUGGGCACCAACUGACGCUGAGGCUCGAAAGUGUGGGUAGCAAACAGGAUUAGAUACCCUGGUAGUCCACACCGUAAACGAUGAUUACUAGGUGUUGGAGGAUUGACCCCUUCAGUGCCGCAGUUAACACAAUAAGUAAUCCACCUGGGGAGUACGACCGCAAGGUUGAAACUCAAAGGAAUUGACGGGGGCCCGCACAAGCAGUGGAGUAUGUGGUUUAAUUCGACGCAACGCGAAGAACCUUACCAAGUCUUGACAUCCUGCGGCGGUGCUGGAAACAGUACUUUCCUUCGGGACGCAGAGACAGGUGGUGCAUGGUUGUCGUCAGCUCGUGUCGUGAGAUGUUGGGUUAAGUCCCGCAACGAGCGCAACCCUUAUGGUCAGUUACUACGCAAGAGGACUCUGGCCAGACUGCCGUUGACAAAACGGAGGAAGGUGGGGAUGACGUCAAAUCAUCAUGCCCUUUAUGACUUGGGCUACACACGUACUACAAUGGCGUUAAACAAAGAGAAGCAAGACCGCGAGGUGGAGCAAAACUCAGAAACAACGUCCCAGUUCGGACUGCAGGCUGCAACUCGCCUGCACGAAGUCGGAAUUGCUAGUAAUCGCAGAUCAGCAUGCUGCGGUGAAUACGUUCCCGGGCCUUGUACACACCGCCCGUCACACCAUGAGAGCCGGGGGGACCCGAAGUCGGUAGUCUAACCGCAAGGAGGACGCCGCCGAAGGUAAAACUGGUGAUUGGGGUGAAGUCGUAACAAGGUAA
This 1232-nucleotide ribosomal RNA is filed under the name metagenome. Its description in RNAcentral is "bacterial SSU rRNA". It matches the Rfam family "Bacterial small subunit ribosomal RNA", at positions 242 to 1499 of the family's 1533-position model. The record is from RNAcentral.